GUACCUGAAGAAAAAGCAUCGGCUAACUCCGUGCCAGCAGCCGCGGUAAUACGGAGGAUGCAAGCGUUAUCCGGAAUCAUUGGGCGUAAAGGGUCCGCAGGUGGCGAAUAAAGUCUGCUGUUAAAGACCGGGGCUUAACUCCGGAAAGGCUGUGGAAACUGAUUAGCUAGAGUACGGUAGGGGUAGAGGGAAUUCCCAGUGUAGCGGUGAAAUGCGUAGAUAUUGGGAAGAACACCGGUGGCGAAAGCGCUCUACUAGGCCGAAACUGACACUGAGGGACGAAAGCUAGGGUAGCGAAAGGGAUUAGAUACCCCUGUAGUCUUAGCGGUAAACGAUGGAUACUAGGUGUAGCUUGUAUCGACCCGAGCUGUGCCGAAGCUAACGCGAUAAGUAUCCCGCCUGGGGAGUACGCACGCAAGUGUGAAACUCAAAGGAAUUGACGGGGGCCCGCACAAGCGGUGGAGUAUGUGGUUUAAUUCGAUGCAACGCGAAGAACCUUACCAGGGCUUGACAUGUCGUGAAUCUAGCGGAAACGUUAGAGUGCCUUAGGGAAUGCGAACACAGGUGGUGCAUGGCUGUCGUCAGCUCGUGUCGUGAGAUGUUGGGUUAAGUCCCGCAACGAGCGCAACCCUCGUCCUUAGUUGCCAAUAUUAAGUUAGGCACUCUAGGGAGACUGCCGGGGACGACUCGGAGGAAGGUAGGGAUGACGUCAAGUCAGCAUGCCCCUUACGUCCUGGGCGACACACGUACUACAAUGGUUGGGACAAAGGGCAGCAUGCUCGCGAGAGUAAGCGAAUCUCAUCAAACCCAGCCACAGUUCAGAUUGCAGGCUGCAACUCGCCUGCAUGAAGUAGGAAUCGCUAGUAAUCGCAGGUCAGCAUACUGCGGUGAAUUCGUUCCCGGGCCUUGUACACACCGCCCGUCACACCAUGGAAGCUGGCUACGCCCGAAGUCGUUACCCUAACCCGGUUUUGGGAGGGGGAUGCCGAAGGUAGAGCUAGUGACUGGGGUGAAGUCGUAACAAGGUAGCCGUACCGGAAGGUGUGGCUGGAUCACCUCCUUU
Molecule: ribosomal RNA, 1063 nt
Filed under: uncultured cyanobacterium
Lineage: Bacteria; Bacillati; Cyanobacteriota
Description: bacterial SSU rRNA
Rfam family: Bacterial small subunit ribosomal RNA
Source: RNAcentral